UACGUAGGGGGCGAGCGUUGUCCGGAUUUAUUGGGCGUAAAGAGCGUGUAGGCGGCCAGGUAGGUCUGCUGUGAAAACUCGAGGCUCAACCUCGAGACGUCGGCGGAAACCAUCUGGCUAGAGUCCGGAAGAGGAGAGUGGAAUUCCUGGUGUAGCGGUGAAAUGCGCAGAUAUCAGGAAGAACACCCGUGGCGAAGGCGGCUCUCUGGGGACGGUACUGACGCUGAGACGCGAAAAGCGUGGGGAGCGAACAGG
RNAcentral lists this ribosomal RNA (255 nucleotides) under uncultured bacterium. RNAcentral's name for it is "partial 16S ribosomal RNA". It matches the Rfam family "Bacterial small subunit ribosomal RNA", at positions 524 to 776 of the family's 1533-position model. The record is from RNAcentral.